GGUGACCGCCUGCGCGGUCA
This 20-nucleotide small RNA is filed under the name Pantoea ananatis. The record is from RNAcentral. Lineage: Bacteria; Pseudomonadati; Pseudomonadota; Gammaproteobacteria; Enterobacterales; Erwiniaceae.